UAAGCUCCAAGGAUAGAGUAGCACAAUACAACAUCCAUCCAGGCUUAGUGACUUAGUGAAUAAAACCUGUGAUUAUUUUCCCUAAACUUCAACUCAUGAUGAAGGGAAGGUAGAAUCCAGUGAGACAUGAAUCCUGGCAGAAUCAAACAGGGCUACAUAGAUCUGGCACAAAAUUCUCAAUCAAAAGCUGAGUAAAACUCAGAAGAUAUUGAAAUAUGAAAAAAUAUUAUUGGUCAAGGAAUGCCACAGAGUGCCUUCUGUCAUGGGACAGCUGAAAUUUAGUACAUUGGAGGAAUACCAUGCUGAUAUGUACAAAAGUGUCCUUCCUAAUCCAAACACUCUUUCUGCAGAACUUCAUUGUUGGAGAAUUAAAUGGAAACACAAAGGAAAAGGUAAUGAGCUUCUAGCACCAACUUAUGAAGCUUUGCAUCUGCCAGACAUCAUUUUUCUGCUAAUGUUUAUGCAUUGCUUAAAGUACUCUGUAUACUCCCAUUGAUGAAGGUUGAGAAUGACAGAUAUGAAAAUGGUUGAAAACAUCAUAAGGCAUACCUGAGGGAUACUGUCAAGUAAAGGCUUUGUUUAACAUAAACUUUGAUGUAAAACAUGACUUAGAUUUAGUGGUGGACAUUUACAUCAAACUCUACAUAAGUAAUUUGGCCUCCAAGAAGAAGUUCUUCCCACAAGUAAUUCAGAGAUAACUGAAAAUACAUAAGAAAAUUGACCAAAAUAGAUUUUCUCCAUGAAUUUACACAUUGGGGGUUGAGAGAGAAGCCCUGAAAUAUUGAU
Phascolarctos cinereus (koala) is the source of this 786-nucleotide non-coding RNA. The record is from RefSeq and is a predicted model, not a curated record. NCBI's taxonomy places the organism in Eukaryota, Metazoa, Chordata, Mammalia, Diprotodontia, Phascolarctidae.